RNAcentral lists this ribosomal RNA (432 nucleotides) under uncultured bacterium. Its description in RNAcentral is "partial 16S ribosomal RNA". It matches the Rfam family "Bacterial small subunit ribosomal RNA", at positions 338 to 795 of the family's 1533-position model. The record is from RNAcentral.
CCUACGGGUGGCAGCAGUGGGGAAUAUUGGACAAUGGGGGGAACCCUGAUCCAGCCAUGCCGCGUGUGUGAAGAAGGCCUUUUGGUUGUAAAGCACUUUAAGCGGGGAGGCGUUACCCGCAGAAUAAGCACCGGCUAACUCUGUGCCAGCAGCCGCGGUAAUACAGAGGGUGCGAGCGUUAAUCGGAUUUACUGGGCGUAAAGCGUGCGUAGGUGGUCUUUUAAGUCGGAUGUGAAAUCCCUGAGCUUAACUUAGGAAUUGCAUUCGAUACUGGGAGACUAGAGUAUGGGAGAGGAUGGUAGAAUUCCAGGUGUAGCGGUGAAAUGCGUAGAGAUCUGGAGGAAUACCGAUGGCGAAGGCAGCCAUCUGGCCUAAACUGACACUGAGGCACGAAAGCAUGGGGAGCAAACAGGAUUAGAUACCCUUGUAGUC